GUCUUUAAGAAAUUUGUUUAAAGUCUAAUCUGCUCACUGAUAAUUUAAAGAGCCGCAGUAUAUUGACUGUGCAAAGGUAGCAUAAUCAAUAGUUUUUUAAUUGAAAACUGGAAUGAAAGAUUGAAUGAUAAAUUAACUUUCUUAAUUUUAAAAAAUGAAUUUAAAAUUUAAGUUAAAAUUCUUAAAUGAUUUUAAAAGACGAGAAGACCCUAUAGAUUUUUAUUAAUUUAAAUAAUUAAUAUAAAUAAUUAUUUUAUUUAAUUUAAUUGGGGUGAUUUUGUAAUAUAAAAAACUUAAUUUUUUUUAACCAUAAAUAAUUGAAUCUUUUGAUUUAAAAUUUUUAGAUUAAAAUUAAAUUACCUUAGGGAUAACAGCGUAAUAUUAUUUAAGAGUUGAUAUCUAUAAUAAUGCUUGCGACCUCGAUGUUGAAUUAAGAAAUAUAUUGGAGUAGAAAUUAAUAUUAAUUAGUCUGUUCGACUAUUAAAUUCU
This 489-nucleotide ribosomal RNA is filed under the name Polypsocus corruptus. Its description in RNAcentral is "partial 16S ribosomal RNA". The record is from RNAcentral. Lineage: Eukaryota; Metazoa; Arthropoda; Insecta; Psocodea; Amphipsocidae.